This 522-nucleotide ribosomal RNA is filed under the name uncultured bacterium. Its description in RNAcentral is "SSU rRNA". It matches the Rfam family "Bacterial small subunit ribosomal RNA", at positions 26 to 535 of the family's 1533-position model. The record is from RNAcentral.
AGAACGAACGCUGGCGGCGUGGAUAAGACAUGCAAGUCGAACGCGAUUUAUCAGGUUAGCAAUAACUUGGUAAAUUGAGUGGCGAAAGGGUGCGUAACACGUGGGAAUUUACCGAGAAGUGGGGAAUAGCUCGACGAAAGUCGAAUUAAUACCGCAUACGAUCGAAAGAUCAAAGCCGGGGACCGCAAGGCCUGGCGCUUUUUGAGAAGCCCGCGGCCCAUCAGCUAGUUGGCGGGGUAAAAGCCCACCAAGGCUAUGACGGGUAGCUGGUCUGAGAGGACGACCAGCCACACUGGAGCUGAGACACGGUCCAGACACCUACGGGUGGCAGCAGUCGAGAAUUUUUUCACAAUGGACGAAAGUCUGAUGGAGCGACGCCGCGUGGAGGAUGAAGGUUCUUGGAUUGUAAACUCCUGUCACUGCAGAACAAGGAUACGUGUGUGUAGUAAGUCGACUAGUCGUAGUUUAGUAGUAGGUUAGUAGUCGGAGGAGGGAAGGGAACGGGGACGUAACGUACGUCGU